This 440-nucleotide ribosomal RNA is filed under the name uncultured bacterium. RNAcentral's name for it is "partial 16S ribosomal RNA". It matches the Rfam family "Bacterial small subunit ribosomal RNA", at positions 338 to 795 of the family's 1533-position model. The record is from RNAcentral.
CCUACGGGAGGCAGCAGUGCGGAAUAUUGGUCAAUGGGCGGGAGCCUGAACCAGCCAAGCCGCGUGGGUGAAGAAGCGCCUCGGCGCGUAAAGCCCUGUCAGCAGGGAAGAAAAUGACGGUACCUGCAGAAGAAGCCCCGGCUAACUACGUGCCAGCAGCCGCGGUAAUACGUAGGGGGCAAGCGGUCUCCGGAUUUACUGGGUGUACAGGGGGCGCAGACGGCGAUGCAAGCCAGGAGUGAAAGCCCGGGGCCCAACCCCGGGACUGCUUUUGGAACUGCGUGGCUGGAGUGCAGGAGGGGCAGGCGGAAUUCCUGGUGUAGCGGUGAAAUGCGUAGAUAUCAGGAGGAACACCGGUGGCGAAGGCGGCCUGCUGGACUGCAACUGACGUUGAGGCCCGAAAGCGUGGGGAGCAAACAGGAUUAGAUACCCCAGUAGUC